CCUACGGGUAGCAGCAGUGGGGCAUAUUACACAAUGGGGGGAACCCUGAUGCAGCGACGCUGCGUGAGCGAGGAAGUAUUUCGGUAUGUAAAGCUCUAUCAGCAGGGACGAAACAAGACGGUACCUGACUAAGAAGCCACGGCUACCUAAGUGCCAGCAGCCGAGGUAAUACGUAGGCGGCAAGCGUUAUCCGGAUUUACUGGGUGUAAAGGGAGCGUAGACGGCAAGGCACGCUAGAAGUGAAAGGGCAGGGCUCAACCCUGUACAUGCUUUUGGAACUGUGGUGCUAGAGUGCAGGAGAGGUAAGUGGAAUUCCUAGGGUAGCGGUGCAAUGCGUAGAUAUUAGGAGGAACACCAGUGGCGAAGGUGGCUUACUGGACUGUAACUGACGUUGAGGCUCGAAAGCGUGGGGAGCAAACAGGAUUAGAUACCCAAGUAGUC
Molecule: ribosomal RNA, 441 nt
Filed under: uncultured bacterium
Lineage: Bacteria
Description: partial 16S ribosomal RNA
Rfam family: Bacterial small subunit ribosomal RNA
Source: RNAcentral